AGUCCUAAUUUAAAUGAAAGAAUUCCUCUGUUUUUAUCAGCUUGAUAUCUGAUACGAUUCUCAUUGAGAAGUCAGAAUAUCGAUCUGAUUUUUGGAAUAUGGCGGAGUGUCUGGGGCUUGAUCCGACUCUGCCACCGGUCGACCGUCAUUGCAGUACCACAAAGAACGGCCCACACAAU
This 179-nucleotide small nuclear RNA is filed under the name Nasonia vitripennis (jewel wasp). RNAcentral's name for it is "U2 spliceosomal RNA". It matches the Rfam family "U2 spliceosomal RNA". From Rfam's summary of the family: U2 is a small nuclear RNA (snRNA) component of the spliceosome (involved in pre-mRNA splicing). Lineage: Eukaryota; Metazoa; Arthropoda; Insecta; Hymenoptera; Pteromalidae. The record is from Rfam by way of RNAcentral.